GAAGGUCAUGGAAGAAUGUCACUGCCUCCUGCUCUGAUCUCUCUACUGAACUUCCCAACAGGGCCCGGAGGGCUACCAGGGGCUGGCAUUGGCGGUGUUGGUGGCCUGGUGCCAGGUGGUGUCGGAGGUCUGGUGCCUGGUGUUGGAGGCAUAGGCGGCAUUGGAGGUGUCGGAGGUCAGGCAGCUGCAGCUGCAGCUGCCAAAGCAGCUGCCAAGGCCGCCAAAUACGGGCCUGGUGGAAUUGGGCCAGGGGCUGGUGGAGUGCCAGGCAGAGUGCCAGGUGUAGUGCCUGGGGCCGGCGGGCUGCCAGGAGUGACACCUGGGGCUGGUGUAGUACCAGGCCUCGUGCCUGGUGUGGGAGUGCCAGAUGGUGGCAUUUUACCUGGAGUGGGUAAGUGUUCCAGGUCUUGCCUGCUCAGUUCUCUCUGCAUGUGCACAUAAAGUUUGUCCCACAUGAGCAGUGGUGGGUGUGGAGAGAAAGGGUGUCCUGGAGCAGGGAGAAACAGAGCAUCUCCUGAG
This 519-nucleotide long non-coding RNA is filed under the name Crocodylus porosus (Australian saltwater crocodile). Its description in RNAcentral is "lncRNA (ENSCPRG00005008128.1)". Lineage: Eukaryota; Metazoa; Chordata; Crocodylia; Crocodylidae. The record is from RNAcentral.